RNAcentral lists this ribosomal RNA (694 nucleotides) under uncultured bacterium. RNAcentral's name for it is "bacterial SSU rRNA". It matches the Rfam family "Bacterial small subunit ribosomal RNA", at positions 32 to 715 of the family's 1533-position model. The record is from RNAcentral.
AACGCUAGCUACAGGCUUAACACAUGCAAGUCGAGGGGCAGCGGGAUUGAAGCUUGCUUCAAUUGCCGGCGACCGGCGCACGGGUGAGUAACGCGUAUCCAACCUUCCGUACACUCAGGGAUAGCCUUUCGAAAGAAAGAUUAAUACCUGAUGGUAUCUUAAGCACACAUGUAAUUAAGAUUAAAGAUUUAUCGGUGUACGAUGGGGAUGCGUUCCAUUAGGUAGUAGGCGGGGUAACGGCCCACCUAGCCUACGAUGGAUAGGGGUUCUGAGAGGAAGGUCCCCCACAUUGGAACUGAGACACGGUCCAAACUCCUACGGGAGGCAGCAGUGAGGAAUAUUGGUCAAUGGACGAGAGUCUGAACCAGCCAAGUAGCGUGAAGGAUGAAGGUCCUACGGAUUGUAAACUUCUUUUAUAAGGGAAUAAACCCUCCCACGUGUGGGAGCUUGUAUGUACCUUAUGAAUAAGCAUCGGCUAACUCCGUGCCAGCAGCCGCGGUAAUACGGAGGAUGCGAGCGUUAUCCGGAUUUAUUGGGUUUAAAGGGAGCGCAGACGGGUCGUUAAGUCAGCUGUGAAAGUUUGGGGCUCAACCUUAAAAUUGCAGUUGAUACUGGCGUCCUUGAGUGCAGUUGAGGUGUGCGGAAUUCGUGGUGUAGCGGUGAAAUGCUUAGAUAUCACGAAGAACUCCGAUUG